UGGCGUCACUGCCAGGAACUCCGGUGGCUGUAAACAAGUCUAAAGGCACGGAGACAGAGAGCGAUACUGUCUCGGAGAAGCGGCCAUGAAAGCGGACAGACAAGUGGUGGAAGAAGGGAAGGAAUAAAAAGGGAAGGAAGCAGAGCACCUGGGGUGAAAUCAGCCACGGGUUCCAACGGAGAGCGCCAGUGGCCGUGCUUGUGGCUGCCCUCUUAAACCCGCUUGAUGACCAUUAGCACACGUUGGCCCACAUGACAGCUGAACUUGGAGCCUUUGGCCUAAGGCGCCGUGCAGUGCUGCGAGGGACGCCCUGGGUGUUCUAGGGCGGUUGUGGACAAAGAAAAGAGAACAGAAACUCUUAUUGGAGCUGACAAGGGCUCUCCCUCCCGGGCACCGGCGGCACCCUAACAGCCUGGAUCCAGUAGAACAAGGCAGCGCACCGUGGUGAUGCAACCAUCUCGCACCCCCCUCCUCUCCCCCUACCAACCUUCUUCUCCGGUUUGAUAUGGUCUGUUGAGAACCCUGCUUUGAGAAUUGCUUGACUGGCUUUGAAGUUCAUCUCCCUCCCUCUCUCUCGCUCACUCUUCCUUUCUUCAUCUUGAUCUGUUUUAUCAUUUGAUAUUUAGGAUCAAAUGUAAAAAGAACCAGAAGCACAAACUCAAGUGAAUCCCCUUUCCCACCCACACUGUGCUCAGCCUGGCUUUUUGGAAAAAGGAAACUUAGUAAAAAAGAAACUGUUUUACGUUGCUCUCCCACGUUCCACCAAGCCUCGCAGGUGUGAUUGACCUUGUUUGUGUUUAUGGAGGUCGACGCCGUCUUGAAGACCUCUUCUAAGUUUCUUGUGCUUUUUUGUUGAAAUGUGGGUGGCAGGUUGCAUAAUGGUUAAGGUGCUGGACUUGCGAUCAGAAGUUCAAGUCCACGUAGUGAGUGCUGCUGCUGUACCCUUGACUACUGCUAAAAGACGACUCAAGACAGCAUUACCCCAGUAGUGCUCGGUGUUCCAUUUCAGCUACUCUUGGCACCACUGAAUCCAAACACACACCCAUAGCUGUUAGUGACAUUUUCUAUAUAAAUGCCUUUUAAUGAGAUCUAGCCUAGUUUUUUUAUUGAUACAAGAUGGUCGUGGCCCACACUGCACUGUUCGCAAAGGUUGUUUGCCAUCGGCCUUUCUUUCGUUCGGCCUUGCCAACCGGAUUCGUGGCAGCGUGGACAGAUGCUCGACUUCUGCCGUUUCUCUUAGGCAACGUUGUCUCUCUUCUUUUCCGAAGGCUGAAACGCGGCCGUUGCCGCGCUCCUUGCCACCGAAGCAUCUACGAAAUGCGAACAGCGGCAGUUAUAUCUCCUCCUGCAUCCCCGCUGCCUAUUAAUACCAGAAUCAAGGUGCAGCCUACUCAGUUAUAAACAAUGUGGGGACUGCUGUGUGUUGGUGUGCCUGCGUGCGUGCGUGCGUGCGUGCGUGCGUGCGUGCGUGCGUGUGUGUGUGUGUGAAUAGGUGGAUUUGAACAGUUCACAUGCCAGUCACGUAUAUGUAGCGCCCACAUGCCUCUCAGACACACUCCAGGGUUUACAUCUUGACACCCCAUCACUUACGUUCCUUCGGCCACUUCCUGCGCUUGCAGCUGCCAAGAGUUACGCAACGCUCGUAAUGCCGCACCUUCUACGUCCGUGGAUACCGUUCGCUGUCUCGUCGUGUUUGUCCGCAGACCCAGUGAAUUUUGCAAAUCUUUUAACAUUUCCGAAUGACCGGAAAUAUUGCGGCUGAUUUAAAAUUGCUCCAAUUUCCCAUACCCAAAGAACACAGUACAUUACAUGGCAUUGCAAUGUGAAAUAUUAUAGAUUACUGUUUAAUCUUGCCUUUUUUGAAGGAUGUAUACAUGAGAAAUAUGGAAAUAAUACUUUGUCAUAAGCACAGAUAACUGAUAACGAAGGAAAUUAGAAGAGACGGUCGACCGUUAACGUCAUUCUGAUGUUGGAAGCUGAUAAUAUCGACACCUGUUGUUCGACAGCAGUGAGGUUGCUUAUCCCAUUUUUGAAACCUUUUUCUGUAAUGUUGGCAUUUUAUUGAGAAUAAUUUGCAUCCUCCUCUUUCCAAACUUCUUGAAAAGCCAGACAGAAAAACAGGAAGCAGCUGUCGCCAGGGAAACGGGCCGAGCGAUCUGCGGAGAAGCGUGGGAGAGAUUGCGAGGUAAGAAAAAAAAAAGGGCUGGAAUAAAGGCCACUUGGGGUGGGAUUUUUUUUUUUUUUCUCUCUUUUUACCCAUUUGAUUUAGGCAGGAAAACAGGGAUAUUGGUGCCUGCGUGUGCCUAGGAAUAGCCGGGCUGACGCAGGCUAACAGACGAGCCGCUCAUCCCUGGCAGCGCGUGUGCUCCCUCGCCCUCACCCUUUCUCAUUCCUUUCCUCCCUUAUCGCAAUCUGUCCCUUCACUCCCUCGGCUUCCUUCCUCCAGCCCCAUUCUCCCUCUCCCCAAGAGGCUCAGAUGUCGCUGUUGGCCCCAGACCCAGCACAUUUGCGCCGUCAGUCCGCAGUUUUUCGCUUUCUGAAGAACAGCACCACUUGGUUACUCAGCUGGCCUCCUGUCAUAAUUCUUCCUCGUGAAUUUACAAAAAAAAAAAAAAAAAACUUUGCGUCUUUACCUGCAUCUCCGAAUGCUUGUGUUCGACUCUGUUGGAUGUUCAUCUGCCACGGAAACAGUGGAUAUUACAGCGGAAAAGGGCACAGAGCUGAAACGUGAAGGUCUCUAGUCAUAGGAGUGGCCUACAGUGCCUCUGUAGUGCUUUUCAGCUGUAUUUGAACAGUAAAAAUACCUCUUAGCAUUAUCUGCCUAGUAUUGUGUGAAAAUGUGGCUGUACAGGGAUGUAUGAAUGAUAAGGGUGGUGUCCAGAUCAGCAUGACGUGCUGGCAGUGAGCGCUCCCUGCUAGAGUUCCCGUUAUUCACCACGUCUUCAAAGUUGAUCAGUUUGGACCUCUGCCCCACUGGCCGCCACGCUAACUGAAUCCGGCUGCAAAAGAUCCUCUUGACCACGUGCCUGGAAAAACGAACGGAAAAACAAAACUCCACGGAGCCCCUCACACCCAAAGAUAUGACAUGUGACACCUGGGUGUGUUCGUGGAACACGCAGCAAGGAACUUCGUAACGCUACGCUGUGUACAAACAUUAGUGGAAUGUGUUGUUAAUACUUCACGGGGGGUUUUCACAGAUAUUUUUUUUUUCUUUAAAAUUUGCUUAAUAAGAUCUUUUAUCUGCAGCAGUAUACGUCUGUAUAUAUACAGUAUGUGUCUAUAUAUAUAUAUAUAUUUUGUUUAGCUGUAUGCCAUGUACUGAUCAUUGAUCAUAAUUUGUUGCUUAGUUUUGAUGCUCUUAUAUCCAAAGUUUAUAGAGCUGGAUAUUUUUCCGGAGCGAUUCGGGGUAAUUGCCUAGCGUACAGUAGGGGAAGCGAGUUAUAACUGAAAAGGGGAGCAGCUCAUAGCGUAAUAGAGCCACUGCCAGCUGUAAAGUGCAGGUAAAUGAAUAAAUGUAACAGGUAAAUUAUCUUAACUGCUACACUGCCUGCUACUUUUAUACUUGAGUAUGUCAUAUAUAAAUUUUGAAAAUAUAAUACAGUGGAUCCCUGACGUGAACUUUCAGGUAACAAGCUUUUUGGCGUCACAAACUUUUUUUGAGACAUAUCCAGUACUUUUUUCUUUUUCCUAAAGAGAGCACCGUAUCGUUUCGAAUCGUGCGUCAACGUAUCGUCCGAUCUCAAACAGUAAGCCCUGCCUUCAGUUUUUCAAAAAAGUGGGGAAGCGAACAGAAGGCGAAUGAACCGUAACUGAUCCCGUACCUUCUGCAUUUCCCAGUUGGUGCUGCAUGUCCAUCAUCCUGCACCUCCAGGAUAAGCUGGAACUCAUGUUGUUAUUUCAAAUUCUCACAAUUACGCUUGGUUUCUGAUUAUUGCACUUGUAUUGGUAUUACUGAAUUUUGCGUAAAUUGCGGGGUACAGUCCUUCAUCGCGCUUUGUUAUUUACAGCGUGCCUUGAACGCUCCUACCAAGGGACUGAAAACGCCCAGGCAUGUGCACGAGCUGCCCCGGCUCACGAGAGGGAGGGACUGCGAGAGAGAGAGAGAGAGAGAGAGAGAGAGAGAGAGAGAGAG
Molecule: long non-coding RNA, 4132 nt
Organism: Scleropages formosus (Asian bonytongue)
Lineage: Eukaryota; Metazoa; Chordata; Actinopteri; Osteoglossiformes; Osteoglossidae
Exons: 3
Source: RefSeq, a predicted model, not a curated record